GAAAAUUUAGUUUAUUUUAAAAUAAAUGCUUUGAAAGCAUUAGAAAGGAGAAAAUCCCUAAUUUUUA
This 67-nucleotide transfer RNA is filed under the name Cambaroides japonicus. Its description in RNAcentral is "tRNA-Ser". It matches the Rfam family "tRNA". From Rfam's summary of the family: Transfer RNA (tRNA) molecules are approximately 80 nucleotides in length. Their secondary structure includes four short double-helical elements and three loops (D, anti-codon, and T loops). Lineage: Eukaryota; Metazoa; Arthropoda; Malacostraca; Decapoda; Cambaridae. The record is from RNAcentral.